AACAUGAAAGCCAAAACCAACCAAAUUUUCUCUCUCUACAUUUUGGCUGCUCUAUUAUAAGGUAGUACUGCCUUGCUCUACUUUGGAACGCUGUUUUCUCGAGAAGUGACAUCUUCUUCCUUGAAGGAAAAAAAAAAAAAAAAGGGGAAAAGCUUCCUUCUUUCUGUGAAGAAUCAAGAAAGGUGUGCCUUGUGGGUGAGAAAUGUAUGCAGAGACAGGGCUAUUUUUCCCUUACAUGCAGAACUUUUGUCAAGAUUUUCAGCAGUUUGAAGAGUUCUGCAAAACCCAGAAACCCAAUGCUUCAAUGAACAACUUGGUUCAGACAUCCACAAUAUCUGAAUAUGACCUGGGAGGAGAAGGUGAUCUGUUCAAAGCUCCAGAACCCAUCAUUGAAGAACCAAUUGUGGGCCUUGAUCCCAUGACUGCAGCCAUCUCAUUAAUCUCCUGUGGUGAAGAUGUCAUUACUUCACAAGGACUUAAGGCUGCAGAUAUAGAAUCAAUUCAAAAUGAGCAGCUUUUAGAGGUUCUCUAUGAGUGCGAGAAGGAUCUCAUGGCGCAAGCAGCAAUAGAAACACCACUGCCAGAAGUCUUGGAUAUAAAGAUUCCUGUUGUGAAGACAGAUGAAAACCAAAAUCAAGGAAACAAAUUGCUCUGUGAUGUACCAUUCCAGAAAAGUGUCAGUUCAGGUUGUUUAAGCUCAAUGGAAUGGAUGCAAGGGGCUGCAAUCAAGCCUAGUUUCCUGGAUUUCUCUGGAAUGGAUUUUGGUUCUGUCUAUGGAAUGAGGAGAGCAUUUAGUGAAGGAGAUAUAAAGAUGUUUCUGGCCAUUUCGACAGGAUGGGGUGGGUCAUUGAUACUGAGUUUUUAUGACAGACUCUUGGCAAUGGUAAUACGACUGUAAUCCACUCUCCCCUUGAGCGACCAUUAAUUGUCAGCAGCUGUUCUACUGAAGAUCGAAGGGAGAAGCUUUCCAGAUACAGGAAUAAGAAGACAAAGAGGAACUUUGGAAGGAAAAUCAAGUAUGCUUGCAGGAAGGCUCUUGCUGACAGUCAACCAAGGAUCCGAGGAAGGUUUGCAAGGACCGAAGAAUCUGACAACUCCAAGAGGCAAGAACUUUUUUCUAAUUAAAUAAUUACAAUGUAAAACAGGAAUGAUGUAGCUAGGUCCAAUGAAGUAAUGGAAAAGAUGAGUAGUAGUGUCAAUUUGGCAUAUAUAGCCUUUGUGGAAAUCUUAGAAUGGUAAAUGCUAAAUAAACCAGAACCCAGCUCCUGAGAAACAGUUCUGUCUUAUUUGCUGUAAUAACACCCUGUGUAUCGGAAAUGGCCAAGUAGGAUGUACAUAGUGUCUGUUCAAUAAAAUGGCAAAGCAGAAAUUUGUUCCUGUUCA
Molecule: non-coding RNA, 1383 nt
Organism: Theobroma cacao (cacao)
Lineage: Eukaryota; Viridiplantae; Streptophyta; Magnoliopsida; Malvales; Malvaceae
Source: RefSeq, a predicted model, not a curated record